AGCAGCCGCGGUAAUUCCAGCUCCAAUAGCGUAUAUUAAAGUUGUUGCAGUUAAAAAGCUCGUAGUUGAAUUUCGGGAUCAAUAUGUCGGUCGUGCCUCCGGUACGUACUGGCAUCAUUGAUUUCUCCCUUCUGACGAACCAUGAUGUCAUUAAUUUGGUGUCAUGGGGAGUCAGGACUGUUACUUUGAAAAAAUUAGAGUGUUUAAAGCAGGCUCACGCUUGAAUACAUUAGCAUGGAAUAAUGAAAUAGGACGUUUGAUCCUAUUUUGUUGGUUUCUAGGAUCGACGUAAUGAUUAAUAGGGAUAGUUGGGGGCAUUAGUAUUCAAUUGUCAGAGGUGAAAUUCUUGGAUUUAUUGAAGACUAACUACUGCGAAAGCAUUUGCCAAGGAUGUUUUCAUUAAUCAAGAACGAAAGUUAGGGGAUCGAAGACGAUCAGAUACCGUCGUAGUCUUAACCAUAAACUAUGCCGACUAGGGAUCGGAUGAUGUUAAUUUUUAAUGACUCAUUC
This 510-nucleotide ribosomal RNA is filed under the name uncultured Glomus. RNAcentral describes it as "SSU rRNA". It matches the Rfam family "Eukaryotic small subunit ribosomal RNA", at positions 569 to 1081 of the family's 1831-position model. Lineage: Eukaryota; Fungi; Glomeromycota; Glomeromycetes; Glomerales; Glomeraceae. The record is from RNAcentral.